RNAcentral lists this ribosomal RNA (1002 nucleotides) under Salmonella enterica subsp. enterica serovar Kentucky. RNAcentral's name for it is "partial 23S ribosomal RNA". It matches the Rfam family "Bacterial large subunit ribosomal RNA", at positions 588 to 1593 of the family's 2925-position model. The record is from RNAcentral. Lineage: Bacteria; Pseudomonadati; Pseudomonadota; Gammaproteobacteria; Enterobacterales; Enterobacteriaceae.
GUGGGGUGACUGCGUACCUUUUGUAUAAUGGGUCAGCGACUUAUAUUCUGUAGCAAGGUUAACCGUAUAGGGGAGCCGAAGGGAAACCGAGUCUUAACUGGGCGUUAAGUUGCAGGGUAUAGACCCGAAACCCGGUGAUCUAGCCAUGGGCAGGUUGAAGGUUGGGUAACACUAACUGGAGGACCGAACCGACUAAUGUUGAAAAAUUAGCGGAUGACUUGUGGCUGGGGGUGAAAGGCCAAUCAAACCGGGAGAUAGCUGGUUCUCCCCGAAAGCUAUUUAGGUAGCGCCUCGUGAACUCAUCUUCGGGGGUAGAGCACUGUUUCGGCUAGGGGGUCAUCCCGACUUACCAACCCGAUGCAAACUGCGAAUACCGAAGAAUGUUAUCACGGGAGACACACGGCGGGUGCUAACGUCCGUCGUGAAGAGGGAAACAACCCAGACCGCCAGCUAAGGUCCCAAAGUCACAGUUAAGUGGGAAACGAUGUGGGAAGGCUCAGACAGCCAGGAUGUUGGCUUAGAAGCAGCCAUCAUUUAAAGAAAGCGUAAUAGCUCACUGGUCGAGUCGGCCUGCGCGGAAGAUGUAACGGGGCUAAACUGUGCACCGAAGCUGCGGCAGCGACGCUUAUGCGUUGUUGGGUAGGGGAGCGUUCUGUAAGCCUGCGAAGGUGUCCUGUGAGGGAUGCUGGAGGUAUCAGAAGUGCGAAUGCUGACAUAAGUAACGAUAAUGCGGGUGAAAAGCCCGCUCGCCGGAAGACCAAGGGUUCCUGUCCAACGUUAAUCGGGGCAGGGUGAGUCGACCCCUAAGGCGAGGCCGAAAGGCGUAGUCGAUGGGAAACGGGUUAAUAUUCCCGUACUUGGUGUUACUGCGAAGGGGGGACGGAGAAGGCUAUGUUGGCCGGGCGACGGUUGUCCCGGUUUAAGCGUGUAGGCUGGUUUUCCAGGCAAAUCCGGAAAAUCAAGGCUGAGGCGUGAUGACGAGGCACUACGGUGCUGAAGCAA